Molecule: long non-coding RNA, 1258 nt
Organism: Gallus gallus (chicken)
Lineage: Eukaryota; Metazoa; Chordata; Aves; Galliformes; Phasianidae
Source: Ensembl
UUUGGAUGGCGUGGGAGUGGUUCUGUUCCUGCUGCACAGGUGGCAGCUGCUGGCCAUGAGCCUUUAGAGGUGAACAGACCACCAACUUCAGUCCUCUACCAUCACACCCAGCACCUCCAGCCCCUUCCUGGGCAAAGUCUUUGCAAUCACAGCACCCAUCACGGGAGCAGUUGGACAUUUCAGCAGUCAUCACAGCCAGCUUCUGCCCGUGUGUCCUCAUGCCAACUGUCUUCUGGCUUCAGCAGCUCUUCUCCCUUCCGUGUGUUUAGUUCCCAAUGUAUUUAUAGCUGAGAGCAAUGUUCCCUACCGGGUUCUGCUCUGCUGUCGGGGCUCCCUCCUCGUGGUCUCACUCUCAAACGCAGGCAGUCAGACCCCACAUUGUCCCCUCCAACCACAGCCUUAUCCCUGCCUUACACAUGGGUCAUGCUUCUCUUCUCUGCAUGCAGAGUCCCAUUCACAGCCAUAUGGCACUGCUGUCUCACGGUCCUGCCUUUGUCAGCCCAGCCCUUUUGAUGAGGGACUGGCAGAAAUGCAGGGGAAUGCUGGCAGUCCACGUGCAUGGCCUUACACCUCCUGCCAUUACACUGCAGUUUCAUACCACUUGUAGGGUACUCAAGUCCUGCAGUGCAAUAUCCUCGCUUCCUAUUUUGCAACCAAUCUCAUCUGAAUUUUCCUCUGGGGGACAAGGGCUGUUAGAAGUGCUCGGCAGGCUCGGUCUCACUGUAUGCCUCAGGCAGAUGAAGAGAAUUUCAUUUUAAUGAUCAAAUAAAAGCAGCUUUCUCUGCGGAGGCAAUGGUCCUCCGGUGCUGCAGUGGUCACAGGGGUGGUUCCCAUCUGCAGAUGUUCUGAAGCCUUCUUUUGAGAUGUGGGUCUGACACAGAGCUGCUGAAGCUUCUCAUCUUCCUGCCACGCUCUUCCUGCCUCCAUCUCUGCUGUUUUAGCCCAUGCGGAGUUUCUUCUGUGUAUUCCUGCAGCCUCCAUCCCUGGGUCCUUUUGCUCUGGGUGGGUGAGAGCAGUUGAUCCUGCAGACGAAGGGGAUGUGGUAAUCCACCCAGUCUGGUGAGAUCUCCUCUGCUUAAACCCUUGUGCUGCUAUUUACUUGCUUUCAAUUAGCUCUGCCAUCCGAAUCUGCUGUGAAGCCUCAUCCUCUACGAAGUCAGAUUAAUGGGCUUGUGUCUCGUAUUUAAAUACAGCCCCCACGUGUGCUGUACUCCAAACCAAUAAUACUUUGUCUUGAUGUAAUAAAAAUAAUUGCUGG